GUUCAUCAUCUGCAAGAUGUAAAAAUAUACCCCUAAACAUGGCUGUCUUGUUAUCAAGGUGAUGUGUCUUUUCCCCAAACACAAACUUCCGCAGUGGUGAAGUGACCUGAAGCAGCUGAUGAUGAAGUGUGAUUUUAUCCACUGACUGCAACAAUCCAGACACGGAGAGAUGACGACAUCACCUAAAGGUUCUGCGUAGCUACAAUCUGCCGGGUUUGAACCCAGAAGAAGCAGCUUUGUGUCCAGAUUCAAGUUUGUACUCACUGGUUUGGUUUAGAGCCAAAAGAUCAUGGAUUAAAAACAAAACACAACGGAUGAGUCUGAUUAUUGCUGUAACGCACAGGGGUCGAAGGAUGAAUCAGUGUCGAUGUUAAUGCUAAUUUUAUUCAUGUAGCAAAUGUCAUUGCAUGUAAACUCAGUGUACUUACUAAAAAAGCUGAAAACAUAAAAACUUUGUGGCUCUAUAAUGUAUUAAUUCAAUAAAAACAACAAAACAAAGAUAUAAAGUAAACUAACACACAGAGUUAUUAACUGUGAUUCUGAAAACCAGUGACUAAAAUAAAAAUAAAUAAAAUUACAUCACAAAAAAUAAAAUGAAUUAAGUCCCGACAGGAUGUGAGUCUCCGUCUCAACAACCUUACACAGAAUUUUUGCACUUUCUACUUUUUGAAUGCAUUACAUCAGGUUUUGACUCCCAGGAGAAAGUAAUUUGUUACUCGUUAAAUUACUGCAAAAGUAAUGUGAUUACAGGCAGCUGCCACCCCUCCAGCCUCCUAAUGCAGACUGUUAGGUCUCUGAAACUGGAACAAUGGAGGACAUCAGAGGCCACAGCCUCUGCCAGUGUGCAUUACAGGUGGACAUGUAAAACAGGCCGAGGUUGGUUUAAUUAGCCUCAGUUGGCUCCAGCAGGUCCACAGAUCCCUGCCAUGUCUACCAGCAGCUAGUUUUUCCUCCUGUUCGUUUAAAAGACACUGUUUUGGUUUAUGCCAAAUCCAAACUUUUUAAAAAAUAAAACAAGUGGAGGUGAAAUUGCUCCUUUGGCAGCGCUCCGCUUGGAUUUGUCGGAUCAUUUGUCUGAGUAUCUCUUACACCUCUGGAAAAUGUGAAGGGGCCGCAGAUAGGUGUUAAACUAUCCACCAGACAAAUGGGUUUGGGACUCAGAUCCACACUGAGGUCGACCCGGAGAUGGUGGGG
This is a long non-coding RNA of Astatotilapia calliptera (eastern happy), 1194 nucleotides long. The record is from Ensembl. NCBI's taxonomy places the organism in Eukaryota, Metazoa, Chordata, Actinopteri, Cichliformes, Cichlidae.